GAAAUUCGAUAAGUAAUGUGAAUUGCAGAAUUCAGUGAAUCAUCGAAUCUUUGAACGCACAUUGCGCCCGCCAGUAUUCUGGCGGGCAUGCCUGUUCGAGCGUCAUUUCAACCAUCAAGCCCCCGGGCUUGUGUUGGGGACCUGCGGCUGCCGCAGGCCCCGAAAACCAGUGGCGGGCUCGCUGUCACACCGGGCGUAGUAGAUUUUUCGUCUCGCCCAGGGCGUGCUGCGGGUUCCGGCCGUUAAAAAGCCUCUCUUUUAACCCAAGGUUGACCUCGGAUCAGGUAGGAAGACCCGCUGAACUUAAGC
RNAcentral lists this unclassified non-coding RNA (309 nucleotides) under plant metagenome. RNAcentral describes it as "partial contains 5.8S ribosomal RNA, internal transcribed spacer 2, and large subunit ribosomal RNA". The stretch from base 1 to 105 matches the Rfam family "5.8S ribosomal RNA", at positions 50 to 154 of the family's 154-position model. The record is from RNAcentral.